This 1507-nucleotide ribosomal RNA is filed under the name Lacticaseibacillus casei BL23. RNAcentral's name for it is "Lactobacillus casei BL23 16S ribosomal RNA". It matches the Rfam family "Bacterial small subunit ribosomal RNA". Lineage: Bacteria; Bacillati; Bacillota; Bacilli; Lactobacillales; Lactobacillaceae. The record is from RNAcentral.
GAUGAACGCUGGCGGCGUGCCUAAUACAUGCAAGUCGAACGAGUUCUCGUUGAUGAUCGGUGCUUGCACCGAGAUUCAACAUGGAACGAGUGGCGGACGGGUGAGUAACACGUGGGUAACCUGCCCUUAAGUGGGGGAUAACAUUUGGAAACAGAUGCUAAUACCGCAUAGAUCCAAGAACCGCAUGGUUCUUGGCUGAAAGAUGGCGUAAGCUAUCGCUUUUGGAUGGACCCGCGGCGUAUUAGCUAGUUGGUGAGGUAAUGGCUCACCAAGGCGAUGAUACGUAGCCGAACUGAGAGGUUGAUCGGCCACAUUGGGACUGAGACACGGCCCAAACUCCUACGGGAGGCAGCAGUAGGGAAUCUUCCACAAUGGACGCAAGUCUGAUGGAGCAACGCCGCGUGAGUGAAGAAGGCUUUCGGGUCGUAAAACUCUGUUGUUGGAGAAGAAUGGUCGGCAGAGUAACUGUUGUCGGCGUGACGGUAUCCAACCAGAAAGCCACGGCUAACUACGUGCCAGCAGCCGCGGUAAUACGUAGGUGGCAAGCGUUAUCCGGAUUUAUUGGGCGUAAAGCGAGCGCAGGCGGUUUUUUAAGUCUGAUGUGAAAGCCCUCGGCUUAACCGAGGAAGCGCAUCGGAAACUGGGAAACUUGAGUGCAGAAGAGGACAGUGGAACUCCAUGUGUAGCGGUGAAAUGCGUAGAUAUAUGGAAGAACACCAGUGGCGAAGGCGGCUGUCUGGUCUGUAACUGACGCUGAGGCUCGAAAGCAUGGGUAGCGAACAGGAUUAGAUACCCUGGUAGUCCAUGCCGUAAACGAUGAAUGCUAGGUGUUGGAGGGUUUCCGCCCUUCAGUGCCGCAGCUAACGCAUUAAGCAUUCCGCCUGGGGAGUACGACCGCAAGGUUGAAACUCAAAGGAAUUGACGGGGGCCCGCACAAGCGGUGGAGCAUGUGGUUUAAUUCGAAGCAACGCGAAGAACCUUACCAGGUCUUGACAUCUUUUGAUCACCUGAGAGAUCAGGUUUCCCCUUCGGGGGCAAAAUGACAGGUGGUGCAUGGUUGUCGUCAGCUCGUGUCGUGAGAUGUUGGGUUAAGUCCCGCAACGAGCGCAACCCUUAUGACUAGUUGCCAGCAUUUAGUUGGGCACUCUAGUAAGACUGCCGGUGACAAACCGGAGGAAGGUGGGGAUGACGUCAAAUCAUCAUGCCCCUUAUGACCUGGGCUACACACGUGCUACAAUGGAUGGUACAACGAGUUGCGAGACCGCGAGGUCAAGCUAAUCUCUUAAAGCCAUUCUCAGUUCGGACUGUAGGCUGCAACUCGCCUACACGAAGUCGGAAUCGCUAGUAAUCGCGGAUCAGCACGCCGCGGUGAAUACGUUCCCGGGCCUUGUACACACCGCCCGUCACACCAUGAGAGUUUGUAACACCCGAAGCCGGUGGCGUAACCCUUUUAGGGAGCGAGCCGUCUAAGGUGGGACAAAUGAUUAGGGUGAAGUCGUAACAAGGU